CGGCUCCCAAAUUCGCUGUCUCUCUCUCUUCGUCUCCUCCUCCCCGUCUCCUUCGUCAAGCAAGGCGGCUAGGUCCUGCCUUUGGCGUUCCUUUGGCUACUUUUCCUAAGGACCCGUCCACGAGUAGCUAGAACCCACUGAGCAAAGUCUACGAGGAACCUCUAUUUCGAAUAUAUACACGGGCAAACGACGGACGCUUUCGGCAGGAAACCUCACUCUAGUUCUGUACCACCACGCCUUCUCCAACCUAAUACCUAGAGCACCGGUGGUCCAAGGGCGGUACGGUGCGCAAGGUUCGAGACGAGCCCCCUUUGCGAGCCGGUCCUCUUUCUUUCUGCUCUACAGGGGCAAACUAAACGAGCGCUGGCAGCGUCCUUGCGACGAUCACCUAGUACUCUUAAGUAGGUUACGAGGAUCGUAGUUACGUCGCCGAAACUGGAUACGGUCCUUUUCCUUUAGUCAAUUUCGACUCGUCAUACUACUGCAAGGCAGCGAAUUUUCGUAACGGCACCUCUUGACAUAUCGUCCAAGACCACCACACACACGGAGAGGGUCCGUUCGAUUGUAGACGAACCGUCUUUUGAGCAGCUGUGCUUUACCAUGACUGGGUCACAAUCUCAGUGAUUGGCACUUUGGUCUAUACAACCAAUCCCUGAGCCACAAAUCAACAUGUUUUAGUACAUUGGCACGGGUACCACAACCGCCUUAAGGUCUCACACCUAGAAGUGCCAGCGAUCUCCGAUGAUUAGUUCACGUCCACGUCGUUGGAUACCUACCACUGUGGUGUCGGAACAUGUCAAACCAAUCGAGACACCUAAACCUACCGUCUGGAGGACGAAACCAAUCGAGACUGUCAUCGAGUCCUCACGGAAACACGUAGGUACUUUUCCUGGCGUGGUGGAGGGGGAAUACGGUACGACUUCGCUCCGUACGACGUCUAUCUCUACUACUGCUUUUAAGAAGGCCCACGUGAGUAGGUACGUGGUGCCCUUUAUUAUUCUCGAUAUACGGUGUCAUAUGUCCGCUAUCGUCCUAUUCCUUUUACAAACGGAGGUUCUAUUCCUUCCGUCGAGCAUUAUUCUACACACCUCUCUACAGGUUAUUUCCAUCGUUCGAUUUAAAUACACCUUUUUUCUAUAGGUGGUGUGCGGUUUCUCAUGUUUCUCGUUACAAGUUCUCUGUUUUCGGUCACGCGGCAGUAAAAUGUGGUAGAAGACGAUUUCCCUAAGAUUGACUUCAAUUCGAUUCUUAGUUCAGUAAGUGGUAGGGCCUUGACAAGUAGCUCUAGGGACUUUUACGUUGUCAACCAAGUAACUUCUCUUGACAUUACCUGCAACAAUGAUCAUAUUAACUUUCACCGGAGGCCCAGCCACAAGAAGAAGUUCCUUUCUCAUAAGUUCUACUGUUGUUCUGUGAAGCAGUUCGAUCUUAAACGGUGCCACUUUUAGAUCUUUUGUAUCUGAAGUGUGACCUUACACUUCGACCCGUUUUGAGAAGGGGGCCCCAGUCUUAUGGUCUCCUUUACCUAAAAGUACCACGUCUACGGUACUUUGGUAAUCGGUACCAUUUCACACUUCUCGGGAAAAGACUCUGGUUCCGGCCAAUAUUGUCGGUCGUCGCACACGUCCGAAGAGGUUUGGCACAAGUCUCACUUGUACCAAGACAAGUAAGAGAAAAGCUUUGCUGGCGAGUGCUUCGUAGUCGAUCGAGUGUUCGGUAACAAGGCCAACGGAGAGGUUCGAGUCUCCGAGAUCGGUAGCACGGACAAACGUUCAGUUUCGCCGGGCAAUAACCCGUUUCUGCGUAUUCCUCCGGGAAGAGGAACGGACUCCACCUCCGCGAUCACCUUCGGCAGCUUGUCGAACCUUGUCCUUCCACCUCCCUGCAAUUUUACGAGCGCAAGCUGUUAUGACUAGUAUCCUGAAUACAGCUAGAGUUCCUGUUCACCUUCUGGGACCACGUGUGCCGCUCGUAUAGCGGCGUCGUCUCCGCCCCGCUCGGCCACGGCGUCCCCGACGAGCUGGCGCACGACCGUCGCGUCCGGAUGACCAGGGUCGUCGUCGUCGUCGUCGAGAGUCCGUUCCGAAGUCCUGUCCCGACGAGGAGGUCGACGACUUCCUUAGGAAGAGACGGAACGGACGGAUCUCUCCUUUUUUUGACUAUGAGACAUUUUUUUUAACAAAUUUCCUCCAACUGAUUAAAAGACAUAAAUAAGGUUUGAGUGUCCAGUAAAAUAAAAGGGAAAGAAGAAGAGACAAACGACGAGUCCGGUCCACGAGAGAAAGGAGACAGCUAAUUAUUCUCUUUGAUUUGCGGACCAAAGCUGCCGGGGAAACAUUUACUAAAAUAUUUGAUAAACCUUACAAAGUCAUAAAUGGUCUACAAGUAUAUUUUUGUCAAGUUGUAAGGUCAAGAACGUGUAAAAG
RNAcentral lists this ribosomal RNA (2426 nucleotides) under Triticum aestivum (bread wheat). Its description in RNAcentral is "partial small subunit ribosomal RNA". Lineage: Eukaryota; Viridiplantae; Streptophyta; Magnoliopsida; Poales; Poaceae. The record is from RNAcentral.